CAAAACGUAGCUAAAAUAGUAAAGCAUCUCUCUUACACUGAGAAAUCGCCCGUGCAAAUCGAGUCGUUUUGA
This 72-nucleotide transfer RNA is filed under the name Ijimaia dofleini. RNAcentral's name for it is "tRNA-Val". It matches the Rfam family "tRNA". From Rfam's summary of the family: Transfer RNA (tRNA) molecules are approximately 80 nucleotides in length. Their secondary structure includes four short double-helical elements and three loops (D, anti-codon, and T loops). RNAcentral also lists the same sequence under 1 other name. The record is from RNAcentral. Lineage: Eukaryota; Metazoa; Chordata; Actinopteri; Ateleopodiformes; Ateleopodidae.